AGAAUGUUAAAAAAUAUCAUAUAGAUGUUUAGGAUUGUGCAUCUUAUAUAUAAAUAUAUAGAGCACUAUAUCUAACUAUCACAUGUAGACAUAUUUAUUGUUUGUAAAAGAAUUAAACCUGCUUUCUAAAUCCCCUAGUUGUGUUUUUGGUAUUUCUAAAUCUAUAGUUCCUAUUGUUUCCAAAUCACUUGUGUUUCAAGGAUCAAUAGAAAAAGAAAAAACACAAUUGUUUUUUAUUUAGAAGUUAAGCAAUUUUAAACAAACACUAACUGUAGAGCAUGUUGUUGCAUAGUCCACCAUUGUACUGACUUCUUCAUCUUCCUCAAGAAGGCCAAGUUUCCGCAACUCAUUGAUAUGCACUUUCUUUCUCUUUCCAUUGUAGUGAAAGUUUGUCUAAUGUAGCCCAACAUGGAAGCUUCUCAUAAUCAAUGUCAACAUACUUUCUUUUUUAUCUCUUUUAAUCCUUGUCGUAACAAAACUUGUUCUGCUUCUAUUUUUUCUUGCUUUUUCUGAUUUCACUUAUUUUAUUGAAGAUUCUAUUUGUUUGUAUUAUUUGUAUGUUUGUUUCCAUUUUUUUUUGUAUCUGUUUUUUUUCGUGCUCCUCGAUCACUUUGAAAUAUUUCAAAAUUGUUUGAUACUCUUCUUUUGUUGAGUCUAGUGAUGUCAUAAGAAACUACAAAUAACAUGAUGUUAAAUGAUUAGCGAAAAAGUAAGAACUUUAUUGAUAAACAAUGAUAGAUUUUUAUCCUUGUCUAUUCCAGAUAGACAUAGAUAGAAAUCUAUCAUUGUCUAUCGAGAAAGACAUAUAUAGAACAUGCUCUAAAUUUACUUACAUUCUCAUAUUAAAAAAUGUUCAUGUUUAGAGUCCUCUAGUCACUUGACUCCAAACAUUCCCAUUGCCAGGAUUGUUGGCCCUUGAAUUCCGAGCUUUCUUCCAAACCCAACAUCUUAAUUGCAAAAUCUUGGUAUUGUCUCAAAAGCCCAAUAGUGAUGUCGGAGGAAAUCCUUGAAGAUAUACAACAUUCUUGUUGCUGUAAGAUGCUUUCUUGAAGAAUUGAUAUGUUAGGAUGUAGGAUAAUCUUUCCCAUGGAUAGUCUUUGAAAGUUUCUCCAUGAUCCACUAUGUCUAGAUGUUGGAGAUUGGUGUGGUUGUGUUGUUGCUUGGGAAUUAAAAUUGCUUCCAAGAUAUAUAGAUUAACUAAUUUUUCUUUUAUUGAGUCUUUCUCAUUGUGUGGUGUUUUGAAAGUUCUCUUUAUAUCUCUUCUGAUUAUAAAGUCGUCGUGAGGGAAAAAGACAUUUUUCAAACUAUUCUCUUUUUUUCUCCUAGAUUUAACUAUGAAAAUUUGUGCUCUUUUUAUCUAGUGACCAAACUGAAUUCUUUUAGCCCAAAUUCUCAUAUAUGUCAUUGAAGUUGAAAGCAAGAAAAUUAGCCUUUUUUGUAUGUCAUUGCUUCCGCCUUAUUAAGAAAUUCUGAAAUUCUGAAUUGUGUUGGUAUUUUGGCCAUUUUAAUGUCAAGGAAGUUGCCAAAAAGAGUUGUUCUUCAAAACUUUUAGAAAGAAUUGUUUGGUCUAUUAUUUAUUUGAUAUGAUUUAAUGUGUCUAAACUACCGUAUACAAUAAUUCCAAGAUUUUUGUAUUCAUCUUUCAUAAUAAUUAUGUCAUUUGGAUGAUGUUUGACCUGUGGAAAGAUUUUUUGUAUUCAUCUUUCAUAAUAAUUAUGUCAUUUGGAUGAUGUUUGACCUGUGGAAAAGAUAUAAUAAGCAGUAUGUUAUAAACCAAGGCCUAGUGCUAACAAAUACACAAAUAUACAACACUAUUCAGAUUGAUAUUGACAAAGAUAGAGCAAUCAAACAAAAAUAGACAAAGAUAGAGGGCUAUACAGACUGACAUGCCUUUCCUUUAGACUUCACUGCUUUACUAGUUGAUGAUGUUGCUUUUCUUGCUCAACAUCUAUUUAUUAUAUAAAAAAAAGUUAGGGUUAAGUUACAUAGAAUAAGUGUGUGACUGUUAAAUUAAAUAAAAGGAAUAUAGAUUCAUACCUCUUUGUAUGGGAGAUAGAUCGAGAUAGAUAGAGAUGAAUGAAGAUAAAUUUGAUUGUGGAACCAAAAUAUUGAGCAAUGAACAGAAUGCUAGAAACAAAUUUUUGAAAAUUGAUGUAGAACAAAAUAUGAAGAACAAGAAGAGAAUUUUAGAAGUUUUGUUGGAGAAGGUAGGGGAUAAAUGAAUGAUCGAAGAAAAAGUUGUCUAAAUGAUAGAUUCUAUCGGUGAUAGAAGCAUAUCAGUGUACAUAUAUCAAUAUCUAGCAUUGAUAGAAUCUGAAAUUUUGCUAUAUUUUGUAAAUAUUUUGUCACAUUUGCCAUUUUUGACAAUUUUCCUUAAACUAAAUUGUUAAUUAUUUCUCCAAUUAAUUAAUUAUUAAAUUGAAUAUUUUAUAUUUAAUUAAUCUAAAUUUGAAUCAUAUUCUUAAUGCGUAUCAUAUACACAUCAAAUUUUAACCUAUAAUUUUAAUACAUGAAUCUAAUUCACAUUAAAUCAAUAUUUGAAUUUGAAUUCAUUCAAAUACUUUUAUUUCGUAAAUUAAUUUUGAAUCAUAUCAAAAAUUAAAUUUACAUGAUAAAAUUAAAUUAAAGUAUAAAAUUUAUAUUAUAAUGUAUUACCAUAUAUUAUAUCAAUAAAAGGCACCAUCAUCCAUGAAAAGGAACCAUCUUACUUCAUAGCCAAUAAGCAAAAAGGCAGCUCAGCUAGUUCAUAUUCUAUGGUCAUGUUUAGAAUGAAAGUCAGAUAAGACUAAGAAUGUGAAUCAUAUAUGACAAAUAAUUCUCUAAUUCAAAGAGAAGAAUUUGUAGGAACUAAUGGUGGCCAACAAAUUGCAAGUAGAAACAAUAUUGGUGUCUCUAAGUUGCAACAUGAGAGGCAUAUCAACAUGAAUAAAUCAGCAUUAGAAACAUUAGGAUCAACCUCAAGAUUAGAUAAUGCAUCAAUAUCAAGGGACUGUGUUUUAGAAAAUAAAGAGUGUAACAGGAAGAAGUUUUUAAAGUAAAAUAACAUCUCCGAUCCUGAAAUACAAACGGUUAUUUUAGAAACAAUAUAAGAACUCAAUUCUAGUUAAAAACCAUGAUACUAAAUUUUAACUUUCUCCAAAUUAUAGGAACCGAACCGAAGUUAUAACCUAACCUAAUCUUAAUGAAAAAUUUAUGAAUGGAUGGAUCAAAAUGCUAAAUGCUCCUAAAUGCAAAUCUCAAGAAACAUAAUUGAAACUUUGAUAAAAUAGCAAAAUAAAAAAAAUAUGAAAAAAAAUUGUUGCAACAAUGUCUUAAAUGCUCCUACUUUAGUGAAAAACUUGUAUCCCAAAUGUAAUUAUUCCACAAACCACAACUAUUUCGUAAUUAAUUCAAACUCCCAAAAAACAAUGAUUACAUCUAUCCUCUAAUUUUUCCUUAUGAACACAAUCAAAUCAAUUAAAACCUAUAAAAAUCCUAAUUUUCCCCCGAAAUCUGAAAUUCAUCAUCAUCAAAGCUCCACAUUCAAAACAUAAUUAAUUUGGAUAGACAUGUAAUGCCCCAAAAACUAAGGUAAUAUUGAAUUUAAUUAUCUUUAUUUUUUAUUUAAUUAUGUUGGAACUAUUGACCGUUAAUUUGAAAUAUUUGAUUUCAAAUCGAUGGUUUUAUGAAAUUAGAAUUAAUUAAAUAUUCAAACAACAAAUAUUUAAUUAAUUAGAAGAAUUGAAUUUUUGGUGUCAUUGAGAUUGAAUUUAAUUAAAUAAUUUGGGAGUGAUUUUUUUUUUGUUAGAGAUUUGACAAUUAUGUGUAUAUGUUGUUAUAUAUAUAAUUAUUAUGGAAAAGAGUAAAGAUAGUUUUAUUUAGGUUAAUUUUCAUAAACAUAACAAACGUAUCAAAUAUUUACGGUCCGUGUAACAAAAUGAAAAAAUCCAUGAAACUUACCAUUUUUUAAAAAUAUGGGUCUUUAACUCAUAUAGUCUAAAUUGCUAUAUGAUAUUACAUGAAGGAUCCAAAUUACUAAUAAAUUUCAUAAAAGCUCUAAAUGAACUAGUAUAUUACAUAAAUGUAGGCUCAAAUUACUUUAAUACUCAUUCAUAUUAUUUAAUUGAUUUAUAACAAAUAUCUAAAUGAAAAAAAUCAUGGAAUAUAGUUUUGAAAAGAAGUGGGGCCCAAAUUAAUUUAAUACGAAUUUCUAUUAUUUAAUUGAUUUAUAACAAAUAUCUAAAUGGAAAAAAUAAUGAGAUACGAUUUUGGAAAGAAGUGGAAAACUUUUCAUGCUUUCCUUCCACGAAAACGGUUGUCUACUCCUUCCAACGUGGAUUACGAUUUUUACUUCGAAAUGUUAGAGAGUUCGGAGGUAAAGAAGAAGACAGUCGACGACCGACAAAUACAAAACUUCUCGAACAUAAUCUAGUUAAAAACUUCGAGGUUAAUAUUGUAUAUAUUCAACACAUAUGAAACAUUAGGUAUAUUAGGUAUAUUUUAGAUAUUCAAUUAAAUAGUUAAUCAAAUGAAAAUGUAGUUUUGAAUGUGAUACAUUUUAGGGUUUAUUGAGAUUUCGACGGUAAAGAAGAAAACUUUCGAUGGCCGAAAAAUACAAAACUUAUCCGAUAGAAUCUAGCUAGGAAUUUUGUGAUUAAUAUUAUAUAUAUUUAAAACAAAUGAAACAUUCGGUAUAUUAGGUAUAUUUUAGAUUAUAUUCAAAACAUAUGAUGAUAGAACUAAGUCAUGCACAGCGGAAAAAGAAUCGAAUUUCUACCCUAAUUGCCACAAUUAACAUGUAACCAUAAACUAAUCAAAUUAGGGUUUUAAGAAAUAUUACCUUUGAAGCUUUCAAAAGGUUUGAUAUCUUCUUACCAAUUCUAACCGAGACCACCACUAGUACUCAACUGCUAUCCUCUAGACAAAGAACCGGGUUGUGAGACCUAAUUUUGGUGUAGAAAGUAAUGGAGAUAAAAUGGGAUUGGAAGGUUUUUUUUUCUUUGUUGAGAUGAUGAAAAUGAUAAAAGAGGCAAAAGUUUUUUCAACAUUUGAAAACACCUCCAUUUAUAACCUAAUUACAUGCAAAAAUGCAUGCAAUUCAUUUGCCAAAUCUCAUCACCUAAUGUUCCACUAACAAUUAGUGGAACUUAGUGGGCUAGGUGUCUAUAUCUCAUAUAGCCACAUAUCCCACUAAGAGUUAGUGG
RNAcentral lists this long non-coding RNA (5183 nucleotides) under Cucumis sativus (cucumber). RNAcentral describes it as "long non-coding RNA (CSAT_LNC003075)". Lineage: Eukaryota; Viridiplantae; Streptophyta; Magnoliopsida; Cucurbitales; Cucurbitaceae. The record is from RNAcentral.